This is a long non-coding RNA of Gossypium arboreum, 289 nucleotides long. RefSeq lists it as uncharacterized. The record is from RefSeq and is a predicted model, not a curated record. NCBI's taxonomy places the organism in Eukaryota, Viridiplantae, Streptophyta, Magnoliopsida, Malvales, Malvaceae. The transcript has 2 exons.
AAAAGAAAAAUGGGUGAAAAGAACAAAGUUUUGUCCAUCUUUGUUCAUCAUAGUCGAAAGUUAGAAAGAGAAAGGAGAGGAGAAAGCUCUUGAAUGUUCGGUCACUUGGGGAAGAAAAUUGAAGGUAAUCCCCAACCAUAGUGGGCUUGGAGCUGUGAGGGAAUUCGGAGUGGCCACCCAUUCUGAAAGUUUGAUUUUCUUCUGGUGAACUGGAUAUCCUUUUAUUUACGUUUGAGGUUUUGGGUUUUUAAAUGUAAUAAGGCCGCUUAAUUAUUUUUUAUGGUUUUAA